CUUCCCCGACCUCAUGAACAUGGCCGAGAAGCUCAUGCAAGAGGGGAAGGCUUACGUGGACGACACGCCGAGGGAGCAGAUGCAGAAGGAGAGGAUGGACGGGAUAGAUUCCAAAUGCAGGAGCCAUACCAUCGAGGAGAAUCUUAACCUCUGGCGAGAGAUGAUCGCUGGAAGCGUGAGAGGGUUGCAGUGCUGCGUCCGCGGGAAGCUGGACAUGCAAGACCCCAACAAAGCCAUGCGUGACCCUGUUUACUACCGUUGCAACCCUAUGUCUCACCACCGUAUAGGGGACAAGUACAAGAUCUAUCCGACGUAUGACUUCGCUUGUCCCUUUGUGGACUCCAUCGAAGGGAUAACGCACGCGCUUCGGUCGAGUGAGUAUCAUGAUAGGAAUGCUCAGUACUAUAAGGUUUGAGGGGAAGGCUUACGUGGACGACACGCCGAGGGAGCAGAUGCAGAAGGAGAGGAUGGACGGGAUAGAUUCCAAAUGCAGGAGCCAUACCAUCGAGGAGAAUCUUAACCUCUGGCGAGAGAUGAUCGCUGGAAGCGUGAGAGGGUUGCAGUGCUGCGUCCGCGGGAAGCUGGACAUGCAAGACCCCAACAAAGCCAUGCGUGACCCUGUUUACUACCGUUGCAACCCUAUGUCUCACCACCGUAUAGGGGACAAGUA
This 670-nucleotide long non-coding RNA is filed under the name Brassica napus (rape). RNAcentral describes it as "long non-coding RNA (BNAP_LNC001840)". Lineage: Eukaryota; Viridiplantae; Streptophyta; Magnoliopsida; Brassicales; Brassicaceae. The record is from RNAcentral.